Molecule: long non-coding RNA, 935 nt
Filed under: Scophthalmus maximus (turbot)
Lineage: Eukaryota; Metazoa; Chordata; Actinopteri; Pleuronectiformes; Scophthalmidae
Description: lncRNA (ENSSMAG00000029996.1)
Source: RNAcentral
CCUUCAUAAGUUCAGUCACUUUCAUGUCGCAGGAGAUAACAAAGAGGUGAGAAGAACCUUUAACUGAGCGUCUGUGUCUUGUUCUUGUCUCAGGGCAACUCGUUCGUCUUCCCCGUCCCUCCGGACAUUAAAGGACUGACAGGUCAACAGGGACUAGAAGGACAGAAGGGGCUGAGGGGAGAUCCAGGUGAACUUGGCCUGUCAGGACCACCAGGACCUGCCGGACGUCCUGUACGCUUCAAAUCUCAAACUGUCAAACUUUAUUUUAAAAACAGCAGAAAUUCCCUAAACUCACGUCAGCUGUUUUUUUUUUGUUGUUGUUUGUUUUUAGGGAGGUCCAGGGUUGCCGGGGUUACUGGGAGAGAAGGUCAGUGUGCGGAGAGGCUGAACUGAUCUGAGAGCAGUUCUGUAUCUUCCCAGUUUUACUCAUAAAUAAUCUGGUUCAUAACCAGUGUCAUGAAAAAACAUCACAUUCUCUCGGAAAAGACAAUUUCUUUCAAAUAUGUUGAAUAUGAAAAAUCUCUGAAGUCCCAGUUUCACAACCCUGAGCCACGAAAGUCUGUGAAAUAGAUGAAUAUGAAUAUGUCAUUUUGCUUUCUUCUUUAAAAAUGUUUCAUACAUAAGUUUGAAAGUCAUGUUCAUAUUUAAAAAAUCGAUACAUUACAUUUCAUGACUCUUUCACGAACAGUUGUGGGGGUGAGUUGCAUUUGAUCUUGUUCACAUUCAUCAUUAUAGUAUCUAUAAUAUCUGUCUGUAGUUAACACACAAGGGAUUUUAUUUCCGAAUCAUUGGAGGUUCUGUUUUAUCACGUGACCUCGUUCCGGCGUCAUCUGGUCCUGAUGGCAUCGUGUUUGUGUCUCAGGGUCAGGAGGGGCCUAGUCCAGUGAUCCCAGGGCCCCGAGGACAGACGGUGAGCUCACACUUACGCUGCAAAC